UGGAUGGACCCGCGUCGCAUUAGCUAGUUGGUGAGGUAACGGCUCACCAAGGCGACGAUGCGUAGCCGACCUGAGAGGGUGAUCGGCCACACUGGGACUGAGACACGGCCCAGACUCCUACGGGAGGCAGCAGUAGGGAAUCUUCCGCAAUGGACGAAAGUCUGACGGAGCAACGCCCCGUGAGCGAUGAAGGCCUUCGGGUCGUAAAGCUCUGUUGUUAGGGAAGAACAAGUAUGAGUUGAAUAAGCUCAUGCCUUGACGGUACCCUAACCAGAAAGCCACGGCUAACUACGUGCCAGCAGCCCCGGUAAUACGUAGGUGGCAAGCGUUAUCCGGGAAUUAUUGGGCGUAAAGCGCGCGCAGGCGGUUUCUUAAGUCUGAUGUGGAAAGCCCACGGGCUCAACCCGUGGAAGGGUCAUUGGGAAACUGGGGAGACUUUGAGUGCAGAAGAGGAGAGUGGAAAUUCCAUGUUGUAGCGGGUGAAAUGCCGUAGAGAUAUUGGAGGAACACCAGUUGGCGAAGGCGACUCUCUUGGUCUGUAACUGACGCUGAGGCGCGAAAGCGUGGGGGAGCAAACAGGAUUAGAUACCCCUGGUAGUCCACGCCCGUAAACGAUGAGUGCUAAGUGUUAGAAGGGUUUCCCCCCCUUUAGUGCUGAAGUUAA
RNAcentral lists this ribosomal RNA (664 nucleotides) under Bacillus cytotoxicus. Its description in RNAcentral is "bacterial SSU rRNA". It matches the Rfam family "Bacterial small subunit ribosomal RNA", at positions 222 to 855 of the family's 1533-position model. Lineage: Bacteria; Bacillati; Bacillota; Bacilli; Caryophanales; Bacillaceae. The record is from RNAcentral.